Molecule: ribosomal RNA, 460 nt
Filed under: uncultured bacterium
Lineage: Bacteria
Description: SSU rRNA
Rfam family: Bacterial small subunit ribosomal RNA
Source: RNAcentral
AGAAUGAACGUUGGCGGCGUGGAUUAGGCAUGCAAGUCGAACGGGCCGCAAGGCCAGUGGCGCAAGGGUGAGUAAGGCGACGGUAACCAACCCCGCGGUUGGGCAUAGCCGAGGGAAACUUCGGGUAAUUCCCAGCGACGCGGCUUCCCGGCAUCGGGAGGCCGCCAAAGAUUUAUCGCCGCGGGACGGGCCGUUGUGGUAUUAGCUUGUUGGCGGGGUGACGGCCCACCAAGGCUACGAUGCCUACCGGGCGUGCGAGCGUGGCCCGGCACACUGGGACUGAGACACUGCCCAGACUCCUACGGGAGGCUGCAGUCGAGAAUCUUCGGCAAUGGGCGCAAGCCUGACCGAGCGACGCCGCGUGGAGGAUGAAGGCCUUCGGGUUGUAAAGCUCUUUCGCCCGCGACGAUGAUGACGGUAGCGGGAGAAGAAGCCCGGCUAACUUCGUGCCAGCAGCCGC